This 313-nucleotide long non-coding RNA is filed under the name Ricinus communis (castor bean). RNAcentral's name for it is "long non-coding RNA (RCOM_LNC000383)". Lineage: Eukaryota; Viridiplantae; Streptophyta; Magnoliopsida; Malpighiales; Euphorbiaceae. The record is from RNAcentral.
GAAAGUGAUGAUGUGACCGCAGAAUCAGAUAAGAAUAAAAGAAUCGAUGAUAAUGCAAUGGCAGAAUCAGAUGAGAAGCAAAGAGUCGGUGAAAAUGUGAUGGCAGAAUCAGAUGAGAAGCAAACAGUAGGUGAUGACGCAAUGGCAGAAUCAGACGAGGAGCAAACAGUGGGGAUGGCAGAAUCAGAUGAGAAGCAAACAGUCAGUUAUAACCUGAUGUCAGAGUCGGAUGAGAAGCAAAGAACCGAUGAUAACGGGAUGACAGAAUCAUAUGAAAAGCAAACAGCAGGUGGUAAUGUGAUGGCAGAAUCAG